CCGGUUACAGCAAGUCCAUUAAGGGGAAAAAAAAAAAAAAAAGCCCAUAAACAUACAGUGAAAGGACUUUUUUUCUGACGUGGAAACAUCAUCUUCUUUCAUACUAGAUUAAUAUUGUUUAUUACAGAAGGGUACAACAACAAACGUAGGGUUGAUCAGCUUAGUGUAAGGCACUAAGCAUCCGUAUAACCUUGGGCAAGUUAUUUAAUCUUUCUAUGACUCAGCUUCUAAGAUGUAAAAUAGAAAAACUCCUCCUUUAUCUUACUGCCUAUCUUCCUUUUUUGCCCUCUGCUUAAACUUCAAGUUCUGUGGUUUCAGGGCUAUUUCUUAACAGGCACCUUGUAAAUGGACAGUCUUGCAGGGGUUCUGCUGUGAGUAUAAGUCGCUGCUCUCCCAGGAAGUGUCUGUGUUUUGCAAUCUGUUUUACAUAGCAGCAUUUAACCUGAAAUCUGGCCAUCUGAAAGGUUUAUCGUUACACCUAUAUUGCCUUCAGUACAUAGCAGAAGGACACAAUUCACUUGAGACACCUUGAUCCAAACGUUAGAAGCCUUCUGCUCCACACCUCAGGCUUAGCUGGAUAUGUUUGAUCUUCCAAACACAUGGCUGAAAAUGUACUGUUAUCCACCUGCAGUUGGCCAUGCAAAGAUUUUAUUAUCUUCAAGACAGUAAAGAAUUCUCCUUAAUUGAUCUCUUCUAACCAAAUACUUCCUAAGGUAAACCAAUGACAGCUAAGUCAAAAGUCAUUGUGAGAUUCUACGCUAAUUAUCUGUGAAAUAAAUAAAUAAAUAAAUAAAUAAAACUUUCUC
Molecule: long non-coding RNA, 806 nt
Filed under: Anser cygnoides (Swan goose)
Lineage: Eukaryota; Metazoa; Chordata; Aves; Anseriformes; Anatidae
Description: lncRNA (ENSACDG00005013858.1)
Source: RNAcentral